RNAcentral lists this ribosomal RNA (467 nucleotides) under uncultured bacterium. RNAcentral's name for it is "bacterial SSU rRNA". It matches the Rfam family "Bacterial small subunit ribosomal RNA", at positions 330 to 795 of the family's 1533-position model. The record is from RNAcentral.
GCCAGACUCCUACGGGAGGCAGCAGUGAGGAAUAUUGGUCAAUGGGCGCGAGCCUGAACCAGCCAAGUCGCGUGAGGGAAGACGGUCCUAUGGAUUGUAAACCUCUUUUGUCGGGGAGCAAAAGACGCCACGUGUGGCGUCCCGAGAGUACCCGAAGAAAAAGCAUCGGCUAACUCCGUGCCAGCAGCCGCGGUAAUACGGAGGAUGCGAGCGUUAUCCGGAUUUAUUGGGUUUAAAGGGUGCGCAGGCGGAUUUUUAAGUCAGCGGUCAAAUCGUGGGGCUCAACCCCAUCCAGCCGUUGAAACUGGGGAUCUAGAGUGUGCGAGAGGUAUGCGGAAUGCGUGGUGUAGCGGUGAAAUGCAUAGAUAUCAUGAAGAACUCCGAUUGCGAAGGCAAGUGUCCGGGGUGCAACUGACGCUGAGGCUCGAAAGUGCGGGUAUCAAACAGGAUUAGAUACCCCGGUACUU